AAUAAAAAAAUUAUUUAUUUAUAGAUUUAAAAAUUUAAUAAAAAUAAUUUUAUUAAUAAUUAUUUUUAGUAUAUAUUAUAGAAAAAAUUUUAAAAAUUAUAGUUAAUUAGUAUUGUAAAAGAAUUUUGAUUUAAAAAUUUAUUAAAUAAAAGUAAAAUUUAAUUUUUGUACCUUGUGUAUCAGGGUUUAUUAAAUAAAUUUUAUAAAUUUAAAUUUUCCCGAAUUUAAGAGAGAGAAUAAAUAAUUUUUUUUAUUGUAAAAAAAAUAUUUAUAAUUAUUUAUUAGAAAUGAAAAGUUAUUCGUUCUUAAAUAUAUCUGGUUUAUUUAGAAAUGAAUUUAAUUCAGUUAAUUUAAUUUUAUUAAUUUAUUUUUUUAAAUUAAUAAAUUUUAUUAAUAAUAAUUAAAGGGAUUAGCUUUUAAUUAAAUUAUUAUAAUAAAUUUGUUAAAAAUAAAAAUAUAUAGGUUUAGAAAUAUUUUUUAUUAAUAAUUUGUUAUAAUUAGUUUUUAUUUUUAUAUUAUUUUAUAUUUAUUUAAUUUUUUAUAAAUAAAUUUUAUUUAAUAUUAUAAUAUUAGAUAUAAUGAUAGAAUUAGUAUAUUUUAAAAUAUUUAUAUAAAUUUAAUAUAAAGUUUAUUUAAAGGAAUUCGGCAAAAUUUUUAUUCGCCUGUUUAACAAAAACAUGUCCUUUAGAAAUUAGAAUUUAAGGUCUGACCUGCCCACUGAAAUUUUUAAAUGGCCGCAGUAAUUUGACUGUGCAAAGGUAGCAUAAUCAUUAGUUUUUUAAUUAAAAGCUUGUAUGAAUGGUUGGACGAAAUAAAAUCUGUCUCUAAAUAAUAAUUAGAAUUUAAUUUUUAAGUUAAAAAGCUUAAAUUUUUAUAAAAGACGAGAAGACCCUAUAGAUCUUUAUAAUAAAUUUUAUAAUUUUAUUUAGGAUUAUUUAAUUAUUUAUAAAUUUUAUUAUUUUAUUGGGGUAAUAAAAAGAUUAAUAAAAUUCUUUUUAAAAUUAAACAAAAAUUAUUGAUUUUAUGAUCCAUUAUUAUUGAUUAUAAGAUUAAGUUACCUUAGGGAUAACAGCGUAAUUUUUUUAGAGAGUUCAUAUCGAUAAAAAAGUUUGCGACCUCGAUGUUGGAUUAAAAAUUAUUUCGGGUGUAGAAGUUCGAAAUUUUGGUCUGUUCGACCAUUAAAUUUUUACAUGAUCUGAGUUCAGACCGGCGUAAGCCAGGUCGGUUUCUAUCUUUAUAMARUUAAUAUAUUUUAGUACGAAAGGACCAAAUAUAUAAUAUAUUAAUAUUUUAUUUUUGAAUAAUAUU
RNAcentral lists this ribosomal RNA (1308 nucleotides) under Oreodytes davisii. RNAcentral describes it as "16S ribosomal RNA". The record is from RNAcentral. Lineage: Eukaryota; Metazoa; Arthropoda; Insecta; Coleoptera; Dytiscidae.